This 30-nucleotide non-coding RNA is filed under the name Cricetulus griseus (Chinese hamster). Lineage: Eukaryota; Metazoa; Chordata; Mammalia; Rodentia; Cricetidae. The record is from RNAcentral.
UUCCGGUGGAGAAGUCUGGAGACGACGUUC